GACGAACGCUGGCGGCGUGCUUAAUACAUGCAAGUCAACUGAACUUUAGGUAGCAAUAUUUAAAGGGAGGUGGCGCACGGGUGAGUAACACGUAGGUAAUCUGCCUUCAGGACUGACAUAAUUCCGCGAAAGCGGGACUAAAAUCAGAUGAUGCAGCGGCUCGACAUCGAGACAGUUAUUAAACCUUCGGGGCCUGAAGAUGAGCCUGCGUCUGAUUAGGUAGUUGGCGGGGUAAAAGCCCACCAAGCCUGCGAUCAGUAGCUGGUCUGAGAGGAUGAUCAGCCACACUGGAACUGAGACACGGUCCAGACUCCUACGGGAGGCAGCAGUAAGGAAUAUUGCUCAAUGGCCGAAAGGCUGAAGCAGCAACGCCGCGUGGAGGAUGAAAUACUUUAGUAUGUAAACUCCUGUAAGAGGGGAAAAAUAUACAGUUCUGCUGUAUUGAUUGUACCCUCAGAGUAAGCACCGGCUAACUACGUGCCAG
This 484-nucleotide ribosomal RNA is filed under the name uncultured bacterium. RNAcentral describes it as "bacterial SSU rRNA". It matches the Rfam family "Bacterial small subunit ribosomal RNA", at positions 28 to 511 of the family's 1533-position model. The record is from RNAcentral.